AUGUGAAGGGGAAGAAUUUCAGGAUGUUUUUGUGACCAGAGCAAUAACAGCACAGAUCUGGUUUUAAUAUUAUGUAACAUCUAAAUCAUGUCAAAAUAUGUCUACUAAUGAUCAACUACUGUAAUGACAUAAACUUUGCAUUUAUUUGGAAUCUGUUGCAAAUGCCAGCACGUUCCACCUGCUUGCCACCAUGGUGACAUAAAAUAUUGCAGAAUAUCUGAAUUUAAAAUCUCCCCCUGUUCAUUUCCAGCUGCAGUUCAAUCUGACAUUCAAGACAUUCUUCAAAAGGGACCUCACCAAAUGAGAUGCCACUUUCUUUUCUGUAUAAUAUUUGGUGAAUGGAUCUUUACUUGAAAACUCUUGAUCUCAGUUCACAAGAAUACUUUCUGAGGGACCUGUGGCAGGUCAUUCUGAAGGCCAGUUCUCAAGUUUCAGGUCUUGGUUCUUCCACAAUUCAGAUCAUAUUUUCAUGAAGCAAGAUUACAAGGAAAUCAACAGUUUUUCUACCCUGGAAAGUAUAUGUGUUGAAAAGAAAAUUUAGUUCCACAAGUACCUGGAGAGUCUUUUACCACGAGUCAGACCCACAGGUUUUCAAACAGAGAAAAAUAAAUUUUAAAAACAUCAUGGCCAUAUGUUAAAAAAACAGGGGGUUCAUAAGCUUCAUCAUCUCUAGGCCUACAUUGCUCUUCUUUCAGCACCUCCUUUUUCUUCUGAUAUCCUUUUCUUGUAGUUUUCUUUCUUCAGGCCUCCCUCAGGCUUCCUGCCAUCUAUCCAGACUUAUUCCCUUUUCCAUUGACUCUGGUACAUUCUGAUCUUUUUUCUUUUGUUUUACACACCACAGUUAGUUCACUUUUCCUCCUUUCUCACAUACAGUUUUCCUGUGCCUUUUCUGGUUUAUUCCUCUGUCCUUGUCUAUGUUGCUAAUUCUGUUUUCCAUACUUUUAAGAAAGGUUUUCAGCCUGUCAUAUAUAUACCCAUGCAAAAUUGUAGUCAAAAGACUUCCUCAAGAAUUCAUUUCAAUCAGUAUCUGAAGCCAAGAGAUUUACACUCGCUAACUGAUACACCAGUGUCUAUCAUACCAGAAUCAGGGCCAGAUUACUUCAAAUGAAAUUAUUUUAAAAAUAGAUAAUUUUGUACUUUCAUAUUUAUUGCUUUACAGAAUCACAAAAUGGGUUGGGUUGGAAGGAAGCAUAUUGGGUCAUCUGGUGCAGCUUCCCUGCUCAAGCAGUCAUCCUAGAGCACGUGGCACAGGAUUGCAUCCAGAGAGUUCUGGAAAAUCACCAGUGAGGGAGACUCCGCAGUCUCUCUGGACAUUCUGUUCCAAUGCACAGGAAAGGUGUUCUUCCUUGUAUUCAGGUGGAAUUUCCCAGAAUCAGUUUCUGCCCAUUGCUUCUUGUCCUAUUGCCUGGCACCACCAAGAAAAGCCUGGCUCUGUCUUCUUGGCACUCUCCCUUCAAGUACUCACAGACAUUGUUCAGCCAACCCAAGGCUGAACAGCUCCCUCAGCUUUUCCUCAUAAAGGAGAUGCUCCAGUACCUUAAUAAUCUUUGCUAUCCCCUGCUCACUCACCAGCAUCCUUGCUGACCUCUCCUAACCUCAAGUCCUUCAUGACUUCUGUGUGGGGCCACAAUACUAUUCUAUGGAAAACAUGGUCUAUCCUAACACAAAAGGAAAAGUGCAAAUAUAAUUAUUAGGCAAACUGUAUUUUCUCUGGUCUAUGUAGUUCUCAAAGGAAUUAAUCUAGAGUUACCCCAUGUAAGUCCAUAGGUGCCCUGAAAAAUCAUACUUUUGUUGGAUUUCAAGGCAGUGUGUUCAAAAAUCACAUGGUUUGACAAACUAUGAGGCAGGACAUUUUUGAAUGUUUACUAUCCUGACUUUGGUUACAGUAUUGUAUGAUACUAGUGAGAGCAAUAUCUCUCUUUUUUUCCUGGCUGUAAGAAUGGAAACAAUCUCUCACCUGCAUAACAUUCAUAGGUAUGCCUUGAAUAAUAAGUUGUCAAAGCCUGGAAGGAUUAAUGUCUUGAGACAUUUUGGGAUACUUGUGGGAGGGUGUUGAGGUCACACCUUGCCCUGUAAAGCCAGUGAACUGCCCCACACCCCCUAGAGCCAGUAUCCCUGCCUGACAGAGCUGCCAAUCAUUGGCAAAACUCAGGAAAUGCCCCACAUUCCCUCUCUGGAGUUCCUAACCCAGCUCCUGGGUGGACAAAUGACUGGAAGUCCCACCUGGGAGGAGGGCCCAUGGAGGCUAAGGGGUAUUUAAGGCUGAGCAGGCACUCAGCAUCCCUCUUAACCCUGUGUCUUGGAGUUCCUGUCUGAACAGUACUGGAAACCCAGGAACUGGUGACUAUUUGUGUGUUUUUCUAUAUCUUUUCUGUUUCUCUUCUAAUUCCUUCUUCUUUGAACAUUUUGAGAUGUAAUUUAAGAUCAAAUGGGUUUAAAAUUUGCUAAGUUAAAUGGUCCAAGUUAAUGCUGUGAGAAGUGUUUAAUGUUGAUUGGAUGUUGUACUAAAACUUUUGCUGAAGUUACAUAAUUUUUCUAAAGUUUGCUUGUAAACUUUUGUCUUGUUUUGACCUCUUGAGGAGAUCUGGUUGGUAUUACUGCCACACAUUUAACACAGAGUACAUGAAGGACUGUAAGCCCUUACAGUGAGUUGAUUGGGACCUUACAAUCAACUUGUGUAUAUUAGCACAAUUGGAUAUUAAUACUGGAUAUUAUUUCACAUGAGACCGCCUGUAGUUUAGGUUUUUAAUUUUGGUUUUUUUUUAAUAUAAAUAAAAACUUACACUGCUUCUUUUUGAUCA
Long non-coding RNA from Taeniopygia guttata (zebra finch), 2801 nucleotides. RefSeq lists it as uncharacterized. Lineage: Eukaryota; Metazoa; Chordata; Aves; Passeriformes; Estrildidae. The record is from RefSeq and is a predicted model, not a curated record.